This is a long non-coding RNA of Terrapene triunguis (Three-toed box turtle), 260 nucleotides long. RefSeq lists it as uncharacterized. The transcript has 2 exons. The record is from RefSeq and is a predicted model, not a curated record. Lineage: Eukaryota; Metazoa; Chordata; Testudines; Emydidae.
GGCGCUGUCUGUCCUCCUGCAGUUCCGGGACCCGGAGCACGGCGAGUGGUUUGGCUACCUGGCGCAGGAUGGGAAGGUGGCGCUCACCAUCAAGGGGGGCCCCUUCAAGGGCUGCUUCCAUGUGCCACGUGCCCUCUACAUGUGCGAAGAGAUCCUGGAGAAGCUGCUGCAGGAGCCCUAGAGCCACCCUUGGGUGCUGAUAAAUAAAGUGCCUCCCUCGGGCCGGGCAGGACGCCUUUCUGGCAACGAGGCUCUUCCUG